RNAcentral lists this ribosomal RNA (415 nucleotides) under uncultured bacterium. Its description in RNAcentral is "SSU rRNA". It matches the Rfam family "Bacterial small subunit ribosomal RNA", at positions 1 to 439 of the family's 1533-position model. The record is from RNAcentral.
AAUUCGGCUUAGAGUUUGAUCCUGGCUCAGAACGAACGCUGGCGGCAGGCUUAACACAUGCAAGUCGAACGCCCCGCAAGGGGAGUGGCAGACGGGUGAGUAACGCGUGGGAAUCUACCGAGCCCUACGGAAUAACGCAUGGAAACGUGUGCUAAUACCGUAUACGCCCUUAGGGGGAAAGAUUUAUCGGGGUUUGAUGAGCGGGCCGUUGGAUUAGCUGGUUGGUGGGGUAAAGGCCUACCAAGGCGACGAUCCAUAGCUGGUCUGAGAGGAUGAUCAGCCACAUUGGGACUGAGACACGGCCCAAACUCCUACGGGAGGCAGCAGUGGGGAAUAUUGGACAAUGGGUGGAAGCAUGACGGGCCUCCAUGCCGCGUGAGAAAAUGAAGGUCUUAGGAUUGUAAAGCUCUUUCCC